AUGUCAGUUCUUCUCAAGAUUAGGUAUGUAUGUCGGGUCAUCUCAAGAUUAGGUAUGUAUGUCGGGUCAUCUUAAGAUUAGGUAUGUAUGUCGAGUCAUCUUAAGAUUAGGUAUGUAUGUCAGGUCAUCUCAAGAUUAGGUAUGUAUGUCGAGUCUUCUCAAGAUUAGGUAUGUAUGUCAGGUCUUCUCAAGAUUAUGUAUGUAUGUCAGGUCUUCUCAAGAUUAGGUAUGUAUGUCAGGUCAUCUCAAGAUUAGGUAUUUUUGUCAGGUCAUCUCAAGAUUAGGUAUGUAUGUCAGGUCAUCUCAAGAUUAGGUAUGUAUGUCGAGUCUUCUCAAGAUUAGGUAUGUAUGUCAGGUCUUCUCAAGAUUAUGUAUGUAUGUCAGGUCUUCUCAAGAUUAGGUAUGUAUGUCAGGUCAUCUCAAGAUUAGGUAUGUAUGUCAGGGAUUCUAAAGAUUAGGCAUGUAUGUCGGGUCAUCUCAAGAUUAGGUAUGUAUGUCGGGUCAUCUCAAGAUUAGGUAUGUAUGUCAGGUCAUCUCAAGAUUAGGUAUGUAUGUCAGGUCUUCUCAAGAUUAAGUAUGUAUGUCAGGUCAUCUCAAGAUUAGGUAUGUAUGUCGGGUCAUCUUAAGAUUAGGUAUGUAUGUCGGGUCUUCUCAAGAUUCGGUAUGUAUGUCAGGUCAUCUCAAGAUUAGGUAUGCAUGUCAGGUCAUCUCAAGAUUAGGUAUGUAUGUCAGGUCUUCUCAAGAUAAGGUAUGUAGGUCGGGUUUUCUCAGAGCUUUUAGUAGGCCUUAUUUUUCAAAUUGGCAUUUAAUGUCGCAGGCACAGGCGUUAGGAUAGUCCCAGUCUCUAAAUUAUCUGUAUUUAAAAAUUUGAAUUUCAAUCAAAAUCGUAGUGUGUGCUUCUGUGAACUAUUGAUAACCGCUUAAACUGGACCAAUUUGCACUUUUUUCACCUUUACAAUGAUCCCAAUUUACCCUCCGACAUUUGAUAAACCCUAACAAAUCCUUUAAACUGCCACAAACACCUAUUCACCUCCAAUUCAAUGCGCCGUUUGCGUUGUGACAGCGCAUGCUACCGACUUGGUUUGUUUGCAGAACGCAAAGCACCAGUUAAUCAUGAAAUUAGUAAAUUCAGCAGGCAGGCCCUUUUUAGACAAAAUCUCC
Nematostella vectensis (starlet sea anemone) is the source of this 1161-nucleotide long non-coding RNA. RefSeq lists it as uncharacterized. NCBI's taxonomy places the organism in Eukaryota, Metazoa, Cnidaria, Anthozoa, Actiniaria, Edwardsiidae. The transcript is spliced from 2 exons. The record is from RefSeq and is a predicted model, not a curated record.